Long non-coding RNA from Amblyraja radiata (thorny skate), 216 nucleotides. RefSeq lists it as uncharacterized. The transcript has 3 exons. Lineage: Eukaryota; Metazoa; Chordata; Chondrichthyes; Rajiformes; Rajidae. The record is from RefSeq and is a predicted model, not a curated record.
AGUCCUGUAAUGGAGUGACCAGAACUGUAGGCAAUACUCCAAAUGCUACCUGACCAAUGUCCCUUCAAGCUGCACAUAUACAUUCCUCUCUCCUUAUCUCACACCCUUUUAUCUCCUAAUUUUCUCUCACCUCUGUCCCUUACUCCACUCAUCUUCCGAUCACUCCAUCAUCUGUUAACAUCCAUGUCAGUCUGAAGAAGGGCCCCGAUCCGAAAC